GCUGUGGUCUAAACCACUGAGCCUCUUGGGCUUGCUGAUCAGUAGGUCAGAGGUUCGAAUCCCCGCAACGGGGUGAGCUUCUGUUGCUCUGUCCCAGGUCCUGCCAACCUAGCAGGUUGAAAGCACACCAGUGCAAGUAGAUAAAUAGGUACCAUUGUGGUGGGAAUGUAAAUGGCAUUUCUGUGUGCUCUGGCCUCCGUCACGGUGUCCUGUUGCGCCAGAAGCUGUUUAGUCAUGCUGGCCACAUGACCCGGAAAGCUGUCUGUGGACAAACGCCAGCUCCCUCGGCCUGAAGUGAGAGGAGCGCCACACCCCAUAGUUGCCUUUGACUGGACUUAACUGCCCAGGGGUCUUUUACCAUAUCUGUGCAUGCUGCAACUUUUUGUUGCAGGCGCCACGUGUUCACGUUCUUACAACUGCGAUUGAUGUGAAUUAUUUACCUCAUAAAGACAUCUUAUUCUCCUAAUCUACCCUUCAACCUGAGGGAUCCUGAGGCAGGAUACAAAAUAAAUAUAAGAAUACAUACAAUCCUGUAAAACACAAUAAGAGCUCAUUUGGGACAAUAGGAGCAGCUAAAACCACUGAGCCAGGGUAUCAGUCACCAUUUAGCCCUAAGUCCUCGACAAUGCCUAAGUAAAUAGGUAGGUAUUUACUCGGUGCCAGUAUCACAAGAGCUUUGAGCACAUGCUGCAAAUAAUGUUUAUGUUAUUGUGUGAAGACAUCAUGGGAUUGGUGGAAAGAGCCAAGUCAGAGAGAAAAAUAAUUUCUUACUAUUGCUGUCCCUCUUUUUCCUGGACAAUCAAAUAUGUCACGAUGGAAGCACUCCUUUUCAGCAACAAGAAUAAUAGAAUCAUAGAACUGUAGAGUUGGAAGGGACCCGAGGGUCAUCCAGCCCAACCCCACUGCAAUGCAGGAAUCUCAGCUAAAGCAUCCAUGACAGAUGACCACCUAACCUCUGCUUAAAACCCCCCAAGGAAGGAGAGCCCACCACCUCCCGAGGGAGUCCAUUCCACUGUCGAACAGCUCUUACUGUCAGAAAGUUCUUCCUGAUGUUUCGUUGGAAUCUUCUUUCUUGUAACUUGAAGGGCUGAGGCUUAGUGGAAGGGCAUCUGCUCAGGUUCAGUCCUCAGUGUCAUCAUAUUGGAGGCCCUCUGUCUGCAGCUCUGGAGAGGUGCUGACAGCCAGUGUAGACAGUACUGACCUAGAUGGAACCAGUGGACUCGGGAGCACAAUAUCACAAAAUCACAGCUCCAUCAGGCGAAAUGCCCACGGUUCUGCUCUUUGCGGCUAGGGAUGUUAUCUGGCACAUGAAAACCUAGGUUCAAAAUUAUGCCCCACUGGGGAAGCUUGAACCAGGAAAAAGUACGGCAUUACAGUGGACGCUCGGGUUGCGAACGUGAUCUGUGCAGGAUGCAUGUCCGCAACCCGCAGCGGUGCGUCUACGCAUGCACAGGUUGCGAUUCGGCGUUUCUGCUACCUGAUCCCCAGCUGAGCCAAGGUGAAGGACUUAAUGCUGGCCUAGCCCCAGCUCAGCUGGUAAAACCCAAGAUCUGCUGAAUGCAAACUCUCCUCCUGGGGGAACUUGGGUUUGGAUUGCACUGUCCUAUUAUAAGUUUUGUAGGUACCAGAGCCCAGUGACCCUUUGUCCUUCAGCAGCACCCUCCAAAGCAUAAAGGGUAGGAGUAAGCAUAGCAGGUUGUAUUUCCUGGGCUUUGCAAUAUAUUGAUCAGAAGGGAGAACAAACUUAUCUGCUCACUUCAUUUAUCCAGUUUUUCCAGGGGAGAGCACCAUCAGCAGCUGGCUAAGCAAAUUUUUUGCUGCGCUCAUCAUCAAAUACAGACUUGAUGUCUCUCCCAGGUUGUUAUGGUCUCUUCACCUACUGGGUCACCAAGACCCAGGGAUGCCUUCUCGAUCCCUUAUUGGCCAGGCCUCCACAUGCACACAACUUCUAUCUAUGUCAGGGUUACACAGAGCCAAACAUUCCCACUGCUAAUAAUCUGUUAUGACUCGAAAUCUCGGCAUUCACUGAAUUCAAUAGUCUUUUUGGUCUGCUGGGGACGGAUCACUGUGGCAUGCAGUAGGAACCCUUGCCUAUGUCCCUUUGGGGGGGAUAAAUGGGGGUUAGUCUGAUGCCCCACUACCAUAUUUACUUGAGUCUAAUGCGCCAUCAAAUCUAAUGUGUGCCUCAAAUUUUCAGAACCUUGAAACCAAAAAAAUAUUUGCUGGCGAAUGUAAGUGUGCCAUCAAAUCUAAUGCGCACCUUAAUUUUUGCAAUGUAAUUUGGCCAAAAGAAGCUGAGGAUUAGAUUCAAGUAAAUACUGUAUUUUUCUGCAGAGUUUUGGAGACCUGCAAUGUCACGCCCUUCCAGUUUGUAGCUUUGAAUGUCUACCCAUAAACCCUGAAGCUUAUUCAUAGUGAUUUAACCCAGUUUCAAAAGCUCUGUGUGGCUUCUCAGAAGCACUUCUUGACACCCGGGGCUCCUGAGGCUGUGAGGUUCUCAUUCCUUUUCUCCCUUGCUUUUACAAUGUGAAGAAGAGAGAGGUAGGAUUUAUUUAUUUAUUUUUUUAAAAAGUAAAAGGUUGCAAAUCACUAAAAAUAAACAUAUGUGCUCAAAACUAGGUAAUUCUUACGGCAUUUGGUGUUGCUGAAUCUCAGCAUUUCUAUGGAAACCACUUGUAUGGAAAAAAAGAUUUGCUGUCAGUGGCGUUCUUAUCUGAUAGAGCUCAAGCCAGGUUUAAAGAGGUUUGCCUUUAUCCUUAACGUGUUGCUGGCAAUCCUUGCAAAGGCGGCACGUUGCAAAUGUAUAAGGCUUGUCACUCUUCUGGAUGUGUUAUCAAGCAUUCAUCAGGAGAAUCCUGCAUCUGCCUUGGGGCUUGAUUUCCGCCCCCUUCGAAAACACCCUCAUUUCCCUAAUAGGCAUUCCUGAGAGCCACUCCCGUUUUGCAGGUUAAAGACUUGACCUCUGUUUUGGCAAAAUGGGUGGGUGGAGGGGUAAGGAUGGCAGCAGCAAAAUAAGCAAAGAGAAUGCCAGGUGAACCUGGUAUGGAUUUUUAUCUUGUAUUCAGGUGGGUAGCCGUAUUGGUCUGACGCAGUCGAAAUAUAUU
This is a non-coding RNA of Podarcis lilfordi (Lilford's wall lizard), 3104 nucleotides long. NCBI's taxonomy places the organism in Eukaryota, Metazoa, Chordata, Lepidosauria, Squamata, Lacertidae. The record is from the annotation of a GenBank genome assembly.